This is a long non-coding RNA of Esox lucius (northern pike), 357 nucleotides long. RefSeq lists it as uncharacterized. The transcript has 3 exons. The record is from RefSeq and is a predicted model, not a curated record. Lineage: Eukaryota; Metazoa; Chordata; Actinopteri; Esociformes; Esocidae.
GAAAGUGGAAAGUCAUCAACCUGUUGAAAACAAAGGAAGUAAACGCAAUAUCCACGGGAUGGCACUACUGUCAAAAUAAAUCCAUGGAACAUCAGCUGAAAACCAAGCCUGGUUCGCAUAUCAUCUGUCAUAUGGCUUCAGGUCCCUUUCCACAGUCGAGUUGGAAAGGAAAUGGUCUGCCAUUUUAGAGCAGAUUCAGCCAGACAAAGGAGAAUCCAAUCUGAGAUGGGGGUCCAGAGUUCCUCCAAGGGCCUUACCAUGGUUCUUUGAAAUUACUGUACAGUCAUUUGUGUUAACUGUCGGAUCCAACAGUUUCAGUUUACUUUUUAUCUAAGUUUAAAACAAUAAAAUCUUCUG